GAUGAACGCUGGCGGCGUGCCUAAUACAUGCAAGUCGAGCGAACAGACGAGGAGCUUGCUCCUCUGACGUUAGCGGCGGACGGGUGAGUAACACGUGGAUAACCUACCUAUAAGACUGGGAUAACUUCGGGAAACCGGAGCUAAUACCGGAUAACAUGUUGAACCGCAUGGUUCAACAGUGAAAGACGGUCUUGCUGUCACUUAUAGAUGGAUCCGCGCCGCAUUAGCUAGUUGGUAAGGUAACGGCUUACCAAGGCAACGAUGCGUAGCCGACCUGAGAGGGGGAUCGGCCACACUGGAACUGAGACACGGUCCAGACUCCUACGGGAGGCAGCAGUGGGGAAUCUUCCGCAAUGGGCGAAAGCCUGACGGAGCAACGCCGCGUGAGUGAAGAAGGUCUUCGGAUCGUAAAACUCUGUUAUUAGGGAAGAACAAAUGUGUAAGUAACUAUGCACGUCUUGACGGUACCUAAUCAGAAAGCCACGGCUAACUACGU
This 496-nucleotide ribosomal RNA is filed under the name uncultured bacterium. RNAcentral's name for it is "partial 16S ribosomal RNA". It matches the Rfam family "Bacterial small subunit ribosomal RNA", at positions 28 to 506 of the family's 1533-position model. The record is from RNAcentral.